AAUUUAACAGCAGAACCAUCUGCCAUUUCAAUUAUAGACUGAACAGAUGCUUUACCAAAUGUAUUUGUACCGAUAACAAGUGCUCUAUCAUAAUCUUGAAACGCUCCAGCUAAAAUUUCUGAUGCUGAUGCUGAUCCUUCGUUCACUAUCAUUAUGAUAGGUUUAUCUAUAUCUCUAAAACCGAUAUUACGCGUUUUAAAAUGAUUUUCUUUUUUAGAUCUAUCUUGAGUAUAAACAACAGUCUUAUCUUUCUCUAAAAAUAAUGAAGAUAUGUUGAUAGCCUCUGUUAAUAACCCACCUGAAUUAUUACGUA
Molecule: non-coding RNA, 313 nt
Filed under: fish gut metagenome
Source: RNAcentral